AGAACGAACGCUGGCGGCAUGCCUAACACAUGCAAGUCGAACGCUUUUGGGGCUUCGGUCCCAAAGGAGUGGCGCACGGGUGAGUAGCGCGUGGGAACCUGCCCUGUUGUGGGGGAUAACCGAGGGAAACUUCGGCUAAUACCGCAUACGCCCGGGGGAAACUCCGGGGAAAGAUUUAUCGCAGCAGGAGGGGCCCGCGUCGGAUUAGGUAGUUGGUGGGGUAACGGCCCACCAAGCCUGUGAUCCGUAGCUGGUCUGAGAGGAUGAUCAGCCACACUGGGACUGAGACACGGCCCAGACUCCUACGGGAGGCAGCAGUGGGGAAUAUUGGACAAUGGGCGCAAGCCUGAUCCAGCAAUGCCGCGUGAGUGAUGAAGGCCUUCGGGUUGUAAAGCUCUUUCGCACGCGACGAUGAUGACGGUAGCGUGAGAAGAAGCCCGGCUAACUUCGCGCCAGCAGCCGC
This 463-nucleotide ribosomal RNA is filed under the name uncultured bacterium. Its description in RNAcentral is "SSU rRNA". It matches the Rfam family "Bacterial small subunit ribosomal RNA", at positions 26 to 518 of the family's 1533-position model. The record is from RNAcentral.